UCCCGCCGAGGCUCUGAGGGGACGGCGAGCAGCGCCCGUGACGGGGAUCGAGGCUGGCGUUCGCCGCCGCAGGGCCGCUCCCCGCUGCAGCGCCCGCCCCGGUCCGGGGGGGGAGCUUGCGUCCUCGCUGCGGUACCGGCCUCCGCCUUAGCAGCCCGGGCUCGGCCGUCCCCGGGCCCUCAUCGGCGAGGCUGCCCGCAUCUGGAGGGGGGUGCCCGGGGCCUGCGUGGGCCCAGGCCGCUGCCCUGCACCCGCCGUGCCGCGGUGGGGCGAGAGCGCUGAGGAAAGAGGGGUCCGGGCGGGGGAGGAGCGUGACCGUGCGGGGGGAGGCCGGCCCCUCGCAUCGCCUCAGGGAGUUCUGUCCCCUGCGGGGGCAAACGCCGCCCUAACGACACCGCAGGGCUGUCUCCCGUGGGCUCCACGCAGUGGCACUAGGGAGCGGUUGAUGUAUCCCGCGCAUAGGCCGGUACGCCCUUCGAAGAGGCUUCAGCCCCUCACAGGUGACUUGUUACUGCAGGCGAGACUCUCCGGCCUCGUGAGGCAACGGAGCGGGCGCUCUUCGGUGGGUGCCGGCGUGCCGUCAUCGCCCAACAGCCGACAGGACGCGUUUGUAGGCCGCGGUGUCAACCCAGAGGCUGGAUCCGUCUGGCAGACGGGCAGCUAGGAGAGACCUGUUCUGUGGGAAGGGGGAAGGACAGAUUUGCUCCGCUCGCAGCAGCUUGCGUGAAAACUAGAUCAGAACUUCCAGGAUUGUCUAUAGAUGGAACACAACUUUCUAGUACUUCUGCUUUCUUAAGCUUCAUAAUGGAUAAUCAUGGAAAAACACAGAGUGUCAAUAAGCAUGAAGUCAUCACUGAAGGGACAGAGGAAUCUUGGAUCUUUUUCAGAAGACCUCUAAGGGCACUGUGUCUAGGUGCUGGUUUUUAUCUAUUUGACAACUUCAUAAACUUUGUGAGUAUCUUUUUCUUUUUUCUUCUUUUUUUUUUUUUUUUGGUAACUCUUGUCUUUCUGAAAGUAUCUCAGAUUCCCUACAAGAUGUCCUGAGUAAUAUUGUUCAGUUCAAAUGGUAUGUAGAGAGUGAAAAAACAGCAUCAACAUCAGGUUUAUAAUAAGGUGAGAACAGGGAGACUUCCUAAUUAGUGUAGGAGAUCUCUUCGAGGAGAAUUGUAAGAGUGUAUGUCUGACUACUUUGCUAGGCGAAGAAGGGUCAAUUGGCAGUAUAGUGCACCAAAGUAUUGAUGCUAUGGGAUACGGAAUAGAAGAAGGAAAUUUUACUGUAUUAUGUAAUGGGAAUUUUGUUGGGAGCCCUCAUAAUAUGUGUAUAAUUCCAUUCUGCAAAAAGCUUCCUGAUGACUGCCUUGUGAUGAUACAAUCCAUAGUGAAUAAGGUAUGAAGCUGAAGAGCAAGACUGUUG
Harpia harpyja (harpy eagle) is the source of this 1414-nucleotide long non-coding RNA. RefSeq lists it as uncharacterized. The transcript has 3 exons. The record is from RefSeq and is a predicted model, not a curated record. NCBI's taxonomy places the organism in Eukaryota, Metazoa, Chordata, Aves, Accipitriformes, Accipitridae.